Molecule: small RNA, 393 nt
Filed under: Vigna angularis var. angularis
Lineage: Eukaryota; Viridiplantae; Streptophyta; Magnoliopsida; Fabales; Fabaceae
Description: Non-protein coding transcript
Source: RNAcentral
UUGGCAAUUGCUAGUUAUUGUUCCUGAUCGUUCUCUUGUAGUUCUCUUAUGUUCCUUGCAUAAGAAAGCUAACACAUUGUCCAUCAAAAAUAUAUUAGAGGCGUAAGUUUUCCUUUCUAUUUUGAUUCCUUCUUACAUUAUUAUUAUUAUGAUGUAUUGAAUGUCUACCUUUUGUAGGUCUUUGGAAGCUUAUUCAAGGUUGCAGGGUGUUCCAUCUGUCUCUAGGAAGAACAUGCAAAUAACCACACCUAAUACAUUGAAGACAUUAGAAGGAAUUGGGCUUCUUUUAUUUUAAGUGUUAGUAGAAACUUAGCUACACUUCAAUAGUGUAGGUACAUUAAUGUAAUAUUUGGAUUUAAUAUAUAGUUUUAUGUAUAAAUGAUGUAUUAAAUA